Molecule: ribosomal RNA, 461 nt
Filed under: uncultured bacterium
Lineage: Bacteria
Description: bacterial SSU rRNA
Rfam family: Bacterial small subunit ribosomal RNA
Source: RNAcentral
CUACGGGAGGCAGCAGUGAGGAAUAUUGGUCAAUGGGCGCAAGCCUGAACCAGCCAUCCCGCGUGCAGGAAGAAGGCGCUAUGCGUUGUAAACUGCUUUUCCAGGGGAAGAAAUUUAUCUACGAGUAGGUAAUUGCCGGUACCUUGGGAAUAAGCAUCGGCUAACUCCGUGCCAGCAGCCGCGGUAAUACGGAGGAUGCGAGCGUUAUCCGGAUUUAUUGGGUUUAAAGGGUGCGUAGGCGGAUUGGUAAGUCAGUGGUGAAAUCCUGCAGCUUAACUGUAGAAUUGCCAUUGAUACUGUCAGUCUUGAGUACGGUCAAGGUAGGCGGAAUGUGUAAUGUAGCGGUGAAAUGCUUAGAUAUUACACAGAACACCAAUUGCGAAGGCAGCUUACUGGGCCACAACUGACGCUGAGGCACGAAAGCGUGGGGAGCGAACAGGAUUAGAUACCCGCGUAGUCCA